RNAcentral lists this ribosomal RNA (535 nucleotides) under Trigonopterus sp. 1062 AR-2022a. RNAcentral describes it as "partial large subunit ribosomal RNA". It matches the Rfam family "Bacterial large subunit ribosomal RNA", at positions 1819 to 2625 of the family's 2925-position model. Lineage: Eukaryota; Metazoa; Arthropoda; Insecta; Coleoptera; Curculionidae. The record is from RNAcentral.
GGCUUGUUGAUUAUAAUUUCAGGUCUGGCCUGCCCAGUGAGUGAUUAAACGGCCGCGGUAUAUUAACCGUGCAAAGGUAGCAUAAUCAUUAGUUUUUUAAUUGGAAGCUUGAAUGAAAGGUUUGAUGAAAGAAAGACUGUCUCUGUAAAAAUUUAUUAGAAUUUUAUUUUUAAGUUAAAAAGCUUAGAUUUAAAUAGAAGACGAGAAGACCCUAUAGAGUUUUAUAUUUAUAUAUAUAGGAGGGUUUUAAGUGAAAAAAUUUACUAUAAAUAUAAAUAUUUAGUUGGGGUGAUUAAAAAAUUAGUUGAACUUUUUUUACAUGGAAAUAUUGAUUUGUAGGUGAAUGAUCCUAAAGUUUAGAUUAAAAGACAAAAUUACCUUAGGGAUAACAGCGUAAUUUUUUUAAGAGUUCUUAUCGGAAAAAAAGAUUGCGACCUCGAUGUUGGAUUAAAAUUAAUUGUAGGUGAAGAAGCUUAUAUAUUAGGUCUGUUCGACCUUUAAAAUUUUACAUGAUCUGAGUUUAGACCGGCGUGAG